UAAUUUGCGCAUUGGCAAUUCAGUUGUGUUCAUCUUUUCCUGUGACAGAUAUCAUCGAGGGGGACAUCUACAUGCCACCAAUCACAUCGGUUUCCGACCUUAGGGCGAGAACAAAAGAGACUCCUUUGUGGCCUGGAGGCGUAGUUCACUACAUCAUCGACGACGCUUUUGAUUCGUGGGAGAAGGAAGAAAUCCUCAGCGCCAUGCAGCAGAUCGAGUCGGUCUCGUGCGUCCAGUUCAGGGAGCGCGCCGAUGAAGAAGGAUACAUCCACAUUCUGAGCAAGC
Rhipicephalus sanguineus (brown dog tick) is the source of this 285-nucleotide long non-coding RNA. RefSeq lists it as uncharacterized. The transcript has 3 exons. The record is from RefSeq and is a predicted model, not a curated record. NCBI's taxonomy places the organism in Eukaryota, Metazoa, Arthropoda, Arachnida, Ixodida, Ixodidae.